Molecule: long non-coding RNA, 286 nt
Filed under: Bos taurus (domestic cattle)
Lineage: Eukaryota; Metazoa; Chordata; Mammalia; Artiodactyla; Bovidae
Description: long non-coding RNA NONBTAT011560
Source: RNAcentral
CCUCCUUUAUCAUGUUAAACAGUCCUUUGGCUUUUCUUAUUCCUCCUCUCCUGGAGAGCUGUGAUUAGAAACCACACCCAUCCUUGAAUGAGGUGCUUGAAAGGGGGGUGGGGUAGGAGGGAGGCUGGCUACCUGUGAACAAACAUUGGCAGCAAUGAGGGAAAAUGAGUGUCCCUGGACUUUGGACUAGAUUACAGCCAGAUAUUUCAAAAGCAGCGAGACACUGCUCUCUGCAGCCUCUGACAACAACUGAGACCAUAACACACUUGCUUAAGCUUUAGAAACG